RNAcentral lists this ribosomal RNA (253 nucleotides) under uncultured Pseudomonas sp. Its description in RNAcentral is "partial 16S ribosomal RNA". It matches the Rfam family "Bacterial small subunit ribosomal RNA", at positions 99 to 356 of the family's 1533-position model. The record is from RNAcentral. Lineage: Bacteria; Pseudomonadati; Pseudomonadota; Gammaproteobacteria; Pseudomonadales; Pseudomonadaceae.
CGGACGGGUGAGUAAUGCCUAGGAAUCUGCCUGGUAGUGGGGGACAACGUUUCGAAAGGAACGCUAAUACCGCAUACGUCCUACGGGAGAAAGCAGGGACCUUCGGGCCUUGCGCUAUCAGAUGAGCCUAGGUCGGAUUAGCUAGUUGGUGAGGUAAUGGCUCACCAAGGCGACGAUCCGUAACUGGUCUGAGAGGAUGAUCAGUCACACUGGAACUGAGACACGGUCCAGACUCCUACGGGAGGCAGCAGCG